UCCCAGUUAACCUAGGCAGUCUCACUAGAGUCCCCGCCUUAAGCGUUGGCAACUAAUGAUAAGGGUUGCGCUCGUUGCUGGACUUAACCAAACACCUCACGGCACGAGCUGACGACAGCCAUGCAGCACCUAUAUAACAGCCCUUGCGGGAAAUACCAUUUCUGGUAUCGUCCAUUACAUUUCGAGCCUGGGUAAGGUUCUUCGCGUUGCAUCGAAUUAAACCACAUGCUCCACUGCUUGUGCGGGCCCCCGUCAAUUCUUUUGAGUUUCAUCCUUGCGAGCGUACUCCCCAGGCGGAGUGCUUCACGCGUUAGCUGCGGCACCGACAGGCAAGCCUGCCGACGCCUAGCACUCAUCGUUUACAGCGUGGACUAC
Molecule: unclassified non-coding RNA, 375 nt
Filed under: uncultured bacterium
Lineage: Bacteria
Description: contains 16S-23S intergenic spacer region
Source: RNAcentral